GACAGAGGGUGCAAACGUUGUCCGGAAUUACUGGGCGUAAAGCGCGCGUAGGCGGCUACGUGUGUCGGGCGUGAAAUCCCAUGGCUCAACCAUGGAAGUGCACCCGAAACUGCGUAGCUAGAGUCCUGGAGAGGAAGGUGGAAUGCUUGGUGUAGAGGUGAAAUUCGUAGAUAUCAAGCGGAACACCGGUGGCGAAGGCGGCCUUCUGGGCAGUGACUGACGCUGAGACGCGAAAGCGUGGGGAGCAAACAGG
RNAcentral lists this ribosomal RNA (253 nucleotides) under uncultured bacterium. Its description in RNAcentral is "partial 16S ribosomal RNA". It matches the Rfam family "Bacterial small subunit ribosomal RNA", at positions 524 to 776 of the family's 1533-position model. The record is from RNAcentral.